Camelina sativa (false flax) is the source of this 481-nucleotide long non-coding RNA. RefSeq lists it as uncharacterized. The record is from RefSeq and is a predicted model, not a curated record. Lineage: Eukaryota; Viridiplantae; Streptophyta; Magnoliopsida; Brassicales; Brassicaceae.
CAAAGUCGCAGAGAGAGAGAGAGUCGAGAUCAUCAGUAUCAGAAAAAUCGGCGAAAAUUUCGGAAAUAAGGUUUGUAUCAUGGAGAAUUUGAGGCAAUAAGCCCUCAAUUUGGUUCAAGGCAUUGUGGUUAAUUUAGGGCCUUUAGAAGAAUUCACCAAUAAUGCAGUCAACGCGGAACAGCUCGAUCGCAUCAUUGAUGUGAUGGAGAUUGUUGGUUUAACUGCCAACAACAUCAUCGAUCAGCAGCACCAGCCACCACCACAACCACUGCCGGGAAAUCAGAAUGUCGAUGAUGAGGCUGAGUCUGGCAUCACCCGCGAAUAACUGUUUAGGAUUCAUAUUAAUGCCUUAUCUGGUUGAUCUCUCUCUCCUGAAAGCUACUGUAUUUUUCUCUCUUUUUUUGGGAAUUGGAUCCGUUGUUUCUAAAGAGGAAGAAGAAAAAAAAACACACUGUUUUUAACGCAUUCACUUAAUUGGGUA